RNAcentral lists this ribosomal RNA (326 nucleotides) under uncultured eukaryote. RNAcentral's name for it is "partial 18S ribosomal RNA". It matches the Rfam family "Eukaryotic small subunit ribosomal RNA", at positions 1470 to 1796 of the family's 1831-position model. The record is from RNAcentral.
CCCUUAGAUGUUCUGGGCCGCACGCGCGCUACACUGACGAAGUCAGCGAGCAUCUCCUACGCCGAAAGGUGCGGGGAAUCUUGUGAAACUUUGUCGUGCUGGGGAUUGAUUUUUGAAAUUCUUGAUCAUCAACGAGGAAUUCCUAGUAAGCGCAAGUCAGCAGCUUGCGUUGAUUACGUCCCUGCCCUUUGUACACACCGCCCGUCGCACCUACCGAUUGGAUGGUCCGGUGAAGCCUCGGGAUUGUGGUUCUUGCCGCUUUAUUGUGGCGUGACCGCGAGAACUUGUCUAAACCUUAUCAUCUAGAGGAAGGUGAAGUCGUAACA